Molecule: long non-coding RNA, 1261 nt
Organism: Spodoptera frugiperda (fall armyworm)
Lineage: Eukaryota; Metazoa; Arthropoda; Insecta; Lepidoptera; Noctuidae
Exons: 2
Source: RefSeq, a predicted model, not a curated record
UAGACAACACUUUGCACGCUAUUUGUUAUCAUCAUGUUAAAAAUCAGCGAGGAUCUCUUGUCAAACAACAUUAUCUGUUUACCCGUGAUUUCGCUUGCAGCAUUCGUCGGCAAUAUUAUCGCUAGACGAACUGGUGUUGUGCAUCUCGAGCCAUCGUACCCGGGCUUCGGCAUUUUAGCUGAGCACUGGCUUUUUUGCGCCGUGUUGAUUAUUUAUUUUUUAAAUUAUUUUUUGCUUUACCUGCAAUGCCUUGCAACGGUGCAAAUAACUCUUUCUCGACAAACUAAAGAAUAUUUGAUGCUUCAUCCCGCAUUUGAUUACAAGGCAUGAACACGUAACUUAAUCGGAGGAUUCACCCAUGUCUUUUUUUUGGUGGGGAUAUGAUGAAUAAUUGUGCGUAAGGGCUUAUGUACACCAUACCACUACCGCGUCGAUAUGCUGUGUACAUGAAUCUGCCACGUCCGUUCCUUUUGAUUUUACUACACAUUUGAUAAUGUGUUUGAUGCACUAUGAACAUCAUAUUGCAAUCAUUCAAUAUUAUUUAGUGAAACAUGAUACACAACAUCAGUUCCUCUAGUAAGUCUAGUAAUAUUGCCGACGAAAGCUGCAAGCGAAAUCAUGAGUAGACAGACAAUGUUGUUUGACAAGAGAUUCUCGCUGAUUUUCAACAUGAUGAUAACAAAUCGCGUGCAAAGUGUUGUCUAGUGCAUACGAGGUUAUAACGUAUGAUUUGAGUACACUAGAAGAAUUUUUAGUAAGUUCAAAUAAAUUCAUCGAAACGGAGUUUCGUUGAAAAAUCUUUUUUUGUGUCGAAUUUAAGAAAUAAUGUGCAAAGUGCUAUACCAUUUUAGAAUCCUUAUUAAAUGCGCCAACUUUGGUGAAAUUUGCCACUACUAGCGCCAUACAUAAUUUAUUCAGUACAGUCACUUAAAGUAAGGUGAAAAUUUUAUUCAGAGUAUUUGGUUCCUCUAAAACUAACAAUGUUUUCCAAUCUAAAGCAGUUGGCUAAGAAUUUAUGAUUCCGUAUUACUGGAGCACUAUUCAGGAUAAUGUAAGGAAGACUGCAGACGAAAAAAUAAAGAUUUGUAGCAACAAGAGUCAAAAGACUGGCACAGGGUGUACUUUUUCGUGGAUAACACAUAAGUCACUGUAAUUUAAAAACUGUAGGACUUAGAUUUUUUUUUAUAUUUUUCUGAUAACAUUUGGAACCUUGCCGAUCAUCUGGUGCCUGUUGGACGUCGACUUCAGGGACACCCUGUAU